UGAUCUGGUGCAGGAGAUUCUGUUGUGGUC
RNAcentral lists this non-coding RNA (30 nucleotides) under Mus musculus (house mouse). The record is from RNAcentral. Lineage: Eukaryota; Metazoa; Chordata; Mammalia; Rodentia; Muridae.